UGCGCCCUACGGGACGCAGCAGUGAGGAAUAUUGGUCAAUGGGCGGGAGCCUGAACCAGCCACGUCGCGUGAAGGAAGAAGGUACUUAGUAUUGUAAACUUCUUUUGUCGGGGAACAAAGGCGGAGACGCGUCUCCGGAUGAGUGUACCCGAAGAAAAAGCAUCGGCUAACUCCGUGCCAGCAGCCGCGGUAAUACGGAGGAUGCGAGCGUUAUCCGGAUUUAUUGGGUUUAAAGGGUGCGCAGGUGGGAGAUCAAGUCAGCGGUAAAAUGUCGGGGCUCAACCUCGGCCGGCCGCUGAAACUGG
RNAcentral lists this ribosomal RNA (305 nucleotides) under uncultured bacterium. RNAcentral's name for it is "bacterial SSU rRNA". It matches the Rfam family "Bacterial small subunit ribosomal RNA", at positions 333 to 636 of the family's 1533-position model. The record is from RNAcentral.